This 497-nucleotide ribosomal RNA is filed under the name uncultured bacterium. RNAcentral describes it as "partial 16S ribosomal RNA". It matches the Rfam family "Bacterial small subunit ribosomal RNA", at positions 28 to 507 of the family's 1533-position model. The record is from RNAcentral.
GAUGAACGCUGGCGGCGUGCCUAAUACAUGCAAGUCGAGCGAACAGACGAGGAGCUUGCUCCUCUGACGUUAGCGGCGGACGGGUGAGUAACACGUGGAUAACCUCCCUAUAAGACUGGGAUAACUUCGGGAAACCGGAGCUAAUACCGGAUAAUAUCUUGAACCGCAUGGUUCAAUAGUGAAAGACGGUUUUGCUGUCACUUCUAGAUGGAUCCCGGCCGCAUUAGCUAGUUGGUAAGGUAACGGCUUACCAAGGCAACGAUGCGUAGCCGACCUGAGAGGGGGAUCGGCCAGACUAGAACUGGGACAGGGUCCAGACGCCUACGGGAGGGAGCAGUAGGGAAUCGUCCGUAAUGGGCGAGAGCCUGACGGAGCAACGCCGCGUGAGAGAUGAAGGUCUUCGGUUCGUAAAACUCUGUUAUUAGGGAAGAACAAAUGUGUAAGUAACUAUGCACGUCUUGACGGUACCUAAUCAGAAAGCCACGGCUAACUACGUG